UACGUAGGGUGCAAGCGUUGUCCGGAAUUAUUGGGCGUAAAGAGCUCGUAGGCGGUCUGUCGCGUCGGCUGUGAAAACCCGGGGCUCAACCCCGGGCCUGCAGUCGAUACGGGCAGACUAGAGUGCGGUAGGGGAGACUGGAAUUCAUGGUGUAGCAGUGAAAUGCGUAGAGAUCAUGAGGAAGACCAGUGGCGAAGGCGGGUCUCUGGACAGUUCCUGACACUGAGGCACGAAGGCCAGGGGAGCAAACGGG
This 253-nucleotide ribosomal RNA is filed under the name uncultured bacterium. Its description in RNAcentral is "partial 16S ribosomal RNA". It matches the Rfam family "Bacterial small subunit ribosomal RNA", at positions 524 to 776 of the family's 1533-position model. The record is from RNAcentral.